UACAGAGGUCUCAAGCGUUGUUCGGAAUUACUGGGCGUAAAGGGCGCGUAGGCGGCCUGCUAAGUCGGACGUGAAAUCCCUCGGCUCAACCGGGGAACUGCGUCCGAUACUGGUGGGCUCGAAUCCGGGAGAGGGAUGUGGAAUUCCAGGUGUAGCGGUGAAAUGCGUAGAUAUCAGGAGGAACACCAAUGGCGAAGGCAGCUCGCUGGGACGUGACUGACGCUGAGACGCGAAAGCGUGGGGAGCAAACAGG
RNAcentral lists this ribosomal RNA (253 nucleotides) under uncultured bacterium. Its description in RNAcentral is "partial 16S ribosomal RNA". It matches the Rfam family "Bacterial small subunit ribosomal RNA", at positions 524 to 776 of the family's 1533-position model. The record is from RNAcentral.